RNAcentral lists this unclassified non-coding RNA (22 nucleotides) under Mus musculus (house mouse). RNAcentral describes it as "oocyte_clustered_small_RNA11158". The record is from RNAcentral. Lineage: Eukaryota; Metazoa; Chordata; Mammalia; Rodentia; Muridae.
UGAGGACUCCCUGUGAGCCAGG